This is a long non-coding RNA of Mirounga angustirostris (Northern elephant seal), 14355 nucleotides long. RefSeq lists it as uncharacterized. NCBI's taxonomy places the organism in Eukaryota, Metazoa, Chordata, Mammalia, Carnivora, Phocidae. The record is from RefSeq and is a predicted model, not a curated record. The transcript has 4 exons.
CUCUCCAGGACUUGAUAACAGGCUGGGAACGGACCCUUGGCCGAGGGCACCGGCCUUGAUGGCUGGAGGAAGGUGGAAGGUAGAGAGCCGGCUGCAGGGACGAUCUCAGAGGAAAAUGGGAAUCCAGAGCGUCUCUCCUUAUGACUUCAUUGCAAGAAUUUGAGAAUAACUUCAGGGUUCAACAAUGAGGAAACUGCCCAAAGUUGUUCAGCAAGUAACUGUCACAGCCAGUACUAGAUCCAGUCUGACUCCAGAGUCCAGGUUCUCAACACUGAAUCCCAAAGAAAUGGUGCCAGACUCCGGCUGUCAUUCAGAGGAGCCACAAGCCCUUCGUACAUCGCCCCCCUGAAGCGCGACGCCAGCGGACGAGAGGGAACACAGGUGGAGCCCGACAGGGUCCAGGGAGAGGGGAGGCGGCGUCCCAGACAGCGGCAGAGCUGGAGAGCGCUGUGGAGGCUGGCAAGGCGGCGCUCACCUAGUCAUCUCGCGUUCCGCCGGGGGAGAAAGCAAGCGGGCAAGUGGACCCCUGACCCUCCCUUUCAGAGUUGGCCCUACCUCUACCUUCCCCUGCAACUUUCAGCCCUGGCUCGGAAAAUCCCGCGAGAUCGGGCCCCUGAACUGUCAUUGCGGUCUCGCGAUAACAAAAUCUUGGUUCACAUGGGCGGAGCAGUCUUCCUGCCUUCUUGGCCCCGGGAAGCGGGUUAACACAAAGGUCCGCGACCGUUGCAAGUAUCGCGAAGUUUGAUAUCGCCUGCCUGCCGGUUGCGCGUCUUACGGACAACAGAGGGAUCUGAAGAUACCCGUGGGCUCGCACCUGCGGCAGUCCUUAAGGGCUGACUUACAGCUGGAGACCGUGUCCGCGAUCGCGGCCUGCUGCUGGCUUAUAUCUAGUACUUCCUCGUGUUCCUCGUGUAGCGCAUGCCCAGGAACUUGAGGCGAGUGACUCCCUCCUGGAGCGCUCAGCGGGGUGGGACACCCGCCCGGAAGCCAACGCGUCACGACACUCGCGGGAGACUGAGUAAACUUAGUGGUCACACACUAAAAUAUAGUCAAAAAUAACUCUUGUGAGUACAAACCAGCAAUACAUGCCGUAAAUAGAAGAUAAAGGUAAAAAUACUAUGAAAAUUUAAAGUGUCCGUGUACCAUCCACAGUUAGAAUGGUUUGUGAGGCAUUAUGGGAAAACACCAAGCAGGCAGUCGGGCUGUUUUUGUUAAAGCAUCAUCAGAACAACACACUACUCACAAGUUAAUGGAUACUACUUUUCUAAUACUUUGCCAGACCUUACACGUUGAUUCAUCGAAAAAAAAAUGGUUUCUGCACAUGUUAAAAUGUUUUCAUAUACUGUAGGAUAUUUCAUUGAACUAGAUUUGCUUGAAUGGGCCUGCAUUGGUUUCCUAUUGCUGCUGUAACAAAUUACCACAAAUUUUAGAGGCUUAGAACAGCACAAGAGUAUUAGGAAUACCACAAAUUUAUUAUUGUACGGUUCUGUAAGUCAGAAUUCUUCCUUGGGUCUCAUUAGGCUAAAAUCAAGGAAUCAGCUGGGCUACAUUCUUUUCUGGAGGCUCUCCAGAAUCCGUUUGCUUGCCUUUCUACACAUUCCUCGGCUCAUGGCCACCUUCCUUCUGUCUUCAAAGUCAGAGUUGUUGCCUCUCUCUGAGCCUUCCAUAGUCACAUCUUCCUCAGAUUGCAGCUGGGUAAGAUUCUUUGAUCUUAUGAUCAGAUUGGGUCUACCUGAAUAAUGCAGGAUAAUCUUCCCAUUUGAAGGUCUGUACCCUCAAUUAUAUCAGCAAAGUCCCUUUGCCAGCUAAAGUAAUAUAUUCAUGAAUUCCAAGGAUUAGGAUGUAAACAUCUUUAGGGGCUCAUUAUUCUACCUACCCAAGGGUCUAAAUGAGGAAAGCUAUGUUUGUUUGCUGCCAAGAGGUAUCUAUACUUUGAGAGAUACUAACAAUUAGCAAUAUGUUUUCAUAAAAUCCUUCAUCUAGAGUAGCCCUUAUUUCUGUUUACCAACAGGUAGAAACUUUGUAUCUAAGAAAAACAUCUAAUUUACUCACUAUGUGUGAGAUGUUGGCCCUCACACAUGGUUGAGAAGUUAUGUCAUUUAACCUCAUUGCUUAAGUGUCCUCACCCAUGACAACAACCCAUGGCAAGUUACAGUAACCUACAUGAAAAAGUGUUGUUGUAAGUAUUAAAUAGGUUAAGUAAAACAUCUAAAACAGUACCUGCCAUAGGAAGGAAUAUGUGGAUUGCUAUUACUGUUGUUAUCGAUGGAAUGCAUCCACUUGAAAGUUGCAUUCUACAUAACCAUUGCUUCAUUUUAAUAUUUUGGCUAGUAGUUGGUAGUACAUUAUUACUUAGAUUAGAAUUUUAGACUACAUUCUAACUUAAAGCACCAUGGAUUGUAAGGCAUAUUAUUUAGGUACAGCUGAAAAAAAGAAAAAAGCUGCUCAUUAUGUAAAUUGUAACUCUUGAUUUUUAACAUGCAUCCUGAUACUGGAAAUUUUUAAAUGUGGGGGAAAAAAUCUGCUUCUUGGAAUUGAUGAAAUAUAUCUUUUUUACUUAAAUUCUUUUCACAUUGUCUCCAAAAUUAAUGGCAAUUGGAAAUUUCAACCAAGCUUACUUUUUUCUUUUUACAACUACCAGAAAAGUUUGAUUGUUCCCCCCCACACACACUAAAAUAACUAGUUGUGUAAUAUUGUCUUAUUUUUCCAGAGGUCUAAUAAUUUAAGACCUUGAUUUUUUUUUUUUAAGUUUUUUUUUUUUUUUUUUUUGAGAGAGAGAGAGAGAGCAUGAGGUGAGGGGGCAGAGGGAGAGGAAGAAGCAGGCUCCCCACUUAGCAGGGAGCCUGGCACCCUGAGCCAAAGGCAGACACUUAACUGACUGAGCCACCUAGGCACCCCAAGACCUUGAUCCUUAAGGUCUGACAUCUAAAUAGAAGUGAUCAAACAAAAUCAGAAGUAAAUUUUUAUUUAAAUGAAAGAGGUCAUCUGGUUGAAGGAAUACUGGUGACUAACAGAGGAGGAGGGGGCCUUAAUUUCUGAGUAUUAAUUAUUUAACCUCACCACCAUGUUUAUGAUGCAUAGUGAAGCAGAAAAAAUCAUGACAUAAAAAUAUGUGUUAGUGAAUUAGAUGCCUCACAAAAUUAGAUAUCCUUAAACAUUCCUUCCCCCACUAACAGUAGUUUUUGUCUAAGGCCAUUGCAAGGACAUCCUUGUCUAGGUGCCGAUGUUGUACACAUCUAAUACUGUAAUGCUAACCACUGCAAAGUGAAUUUGAAAGUCUUGCAAAAUAUUUGGGAAUUCCUAAAGUCAAUAUAAAUGAUCUUGGAUAACUAGAACAUGUGCAAAACCAUUGGCAAAGGAGGAGCUAGCAAAAUUAAACUUAUUAAAACCACAAAAAGAGAAGAAACACAGAGGAUGAUAGCAUAGACAUUUCUAAAGAAUAUUACUUGAAUAUCAAAGAGACCCUUGAGAAAAAUGAUUCUAAUAUUUUAUCAAAGAAAUUUUUUUGUGUUUGCAAUACAAAAAUUAAAUAUAUACCUAUAUGUGGUUCAUAGACCUCCAAAGUUGUGUGUUAAUUCAGCAGAAAAGCUCAAGAAAAAAAAAAAAUAGGUGUGUAUUUCAGUUCAUUUGGCCUGCUAUAGUAAUACCACAGAUUGGGUAGCUUAUAAACAACAGAAAUCUAUUUCUCACAGUUCUAGAGGCUGGGGAAUCCAAGAUCAAGGCAUCAGCAUGGUUGUGUUCUGGUGAGACCCCUCUUCCUGAUUCAUAACUGGCACCUUGGUAUGUCGUCAUACAGUGGAAGGGGCGAGGGAACUCUGUGGUAUGUCUUUAAGAGUACUAAUUUUAUUCAUGAGGGCUCCACAUGUGUGUAUGUCAUCACUUUGGGCACUAGGAUUUCAGCAUAUUAAUUUUGAGGGGACAUGAACAUUCGGAUCAUAGCAAUAUGAGAACUUUGAACUUUGAAAAUUUCUUAGUUAGAUGAUUUUAGGUUGUAGCAUUCCUCCCUUGAUAAAAUGUCCCAGCCUCUGUGUCAAGGGAAAGAAAGGAAGAAUAGAUGAGUAAGAGCAAGGUAAACAUGGUAGAAAUAGAUGUGUCCUUUAUCAAUAAGUAAUCUAUAGAUUGGCUCAGUUGGUUAAGCGACUGCCUUCGGCUCAGGUCAUGAUCCUGGAGUCCCGGGAUCGAGUCCCGCAUCAGGCUCCCUGCUCGGCAGGGAGUCUGCUUCUCCCUCUGACCCUCCUCCCUCUCAUGCUCUCUGUCUCUCAUUCUCUCUGUCUCAAAUAAAUAAAUAAAAUCUUUAAAAAAAAAAAGUAAUCUAUAGAGUUUAAAAGGCAACAUUAUUCAACAAUAUGAAUAUACUUAACAUUUCUGAACUGUACACUUAAAAAUGAUUAAGAAGGUUAGUUUUCUGUGUGUGUGUGUUUUUACUACAAUAAAAAAAAAAAAAAAAAAAAAACCUGGGUCAACAAAAGGACAAUUUAAAACUUGAGCCAAGUGUAGUGAAAGAUACAUAGUGAAUGGCAGGUUAGUGCUAGGAAUGUGAUGACUAUUACAUCUUGAACCUUCACCAAUGCCAUUUUUACUUAAUAGACUCAUUGAAGAAAUCUCAGAGGUCCUCGAUCCAAUGCUCUAACUUAAAGAUAAUAAGAUAGUUUGAGAAAUGUUAGCUUAUUUUACCAAGGUCACAAAUAGCAAAUAACAAAAUCAGGAUUAGAAUACGAUUCUUCAUUCUUGUUCCAAUAUGAUAGGUGUAUAAAAAUACUAUUUCAUAGAAGAUAUUUUUAAAUUUGAAAAAUUAAAACCUAUGAUUCUAUUUCUUGUACUAUUCCAUAUCUCAUGUCAUGUAAUAAGCCUAAAAAUUCUGCAACAAAACACCAAGACCUGCAGGUUGAAAUACUAUUAUAAAAACACCCAAAAUGCAUUGCUGAGAAAAAAAAAAAAAAGGUAAAAUACUCAUAGGCCAAAAAUAAGGAGGAAACUGAAAACCAGCUUACUAAGUUGGCACUUAUGCCACUGCUGUACCGGAGGCAUUUGCCCAUCUCAGUUACAGAAAGGUCUGAGUUUAUCUGUCUUAUGGGGACAGAAGACAUGGUGUGAAGCUCUUACAAGGUCACGAUUUGGAACUGAGACCCUCAUUUGAAAUCAGAAACCCUGAAAGGCAACACCCUCAGUGAAAUUACUGGGUAGAAGAAAAUCUGGAAAGCAGAAAAGGGGGAGGAUGAAGAAGAGAGACUUGUCUGUCAUGGCAUGGGCUCUUUGGGCCGGGUUGUGUGUGUGUGUGUUUGUGUGUGUGUGUGUGUGUGUAUGUAUGUAUGUGUGUCUAUUUCCUUUGACAUUUUGAAACCACUGCCAUAUCCCCAAAUGGAUUUAGGAUUUGAAUUCACAUAACCCGUAUGACCUAGGAAACCCCAAGCCAAGAUAACAUAAUGUAGUGUCAGGUUAAUUGCAUCCAGGUUGGAAGAAGGAAGCAAGCUCAUCUUCUCUAAAGGAAAACAUGUUAAAACAAAGAUUCCUCAAAGUUUCCAGAGAUAAAUCCCAAACAGUUCAUAAUUCCCAAACUGUAAAAAAAAAAAAAAAAAAAAAAAUGCAUAAAACAAGCCACCAUGAACAAAAGCCAGCAGGGAAAACAUGCAAGAGAAAUAGACUCUUAGUGAUUUCAGUUAACAGAAGUAUUAGAUACAAGUGUUGGUGUGUAGUUAAAAUAUUUACUGAUAUAUUUUGAAACUGAAAACAUGGAAAGAAAAAAGGCACUGUCAGAAAACAGCAAAUAGAUUUGUUAAAAGAACCAGAACUUCUGGAAAUGAAAACUUUAAUUACUGAAAUUAAAAACUCUAUGGUAAGUUAAACAGCAGAUUAAACACGCCCUAAUAGAGAACUCAUGAACUGAAAGAUCUAAAGAAAUGACUCCAACUGCAGAGCAGAAAGUCAAGUGGAGGGAAGCCUGGGUGGCUCAGUUGGUUAAGUGUCCGCCUUCAGCUCAGGUCAUGAUCCCAGGGUCCUGGGAUCAAGUCCCACAUCAGGCUCCUUGCUCAGCAGGAAGCCUGCUUCUCCCUCUACCUGCCGCUUCCCCCCUGCUUGUUCUCUCUUCCUCUCUUUCUCGAUCUAUGACAAAUAAAGAAAUAAAAUCUUUUAUUAAAAAAACAGUCAAGUGGAUGGAAAUAUAAAAGAAAGGUUAAGAGAAAUGGAAGGUAGAAUUGAAUUUCCGGAAGUAAUGAAUAGGGAGGCUGAGGGGGAAAAAAAUGUUGAAAGAAAUGAAAAAUGAAAUCUCAGAUUCAGGAAUCAUAGUGAAUUGAUUGUAAUACAAAAAAAUAAUUAAAAUAAAAUUAAAGGGCGCCUGGGUGGCUCAGUCGUUAAGUGUCUGCCUUCAGCUCAGGUCAUGAUCCCAGGGUCCUGGGAUCGAGUCCCACAUCGGGCUCCCUGCUCAGCGGCAAGCCUGCUUCUCCCUCUCCCACUCCCCCUGCUUGUGUUCCUGCUCUCGCUGUCUCUCUCUCUGUCAAAUAAAUAAAUAAAAUCUUUAAAAAUAAAUAAAUAAAAAUUAAUUAAUUAAUUAAUUAAUUAAAUUAAAUUAAAAUAAUUAAAAAUAAUAAAAUAGUAAUAUAUAAUAUAUAUAUCAGUAUUUAGACACGUUGAAGUAAAAUUACAGAAGCAACAAAGAAUCUUGAAAGCAGCCAUUAGAAAAGACAGAUUACCUAUGUGGAAUAGAAUGACAAUUUAACUGAUAAAAGUUAACUGACAACAGUUAAUAGUAACAAGAAAGUCAGAAGACAAUGGAAUAGUAACUUCCAAGUGCAAAGAAAAUAACUAUCAACCUAAAAUUUUAUAAUCAGCUAAACUAUAAUAAGAGCAAAAUAAGAAUAUUUUCAGACAAAACUAAAAACAUAACACCAGUGGACUCUCAUGACAAGACCUUUUUAAGGAUUUUGAACUAAAAAAAAAAGUGAAAUGAUCUGAAAUGUAAGAAUGAUUAACAAAAUGAAUAACCAUUGACUGUAUAAAACUAUAACAAUGAUGAUAUAAUUUGGAUAUGUAAAAAAUAAAGGAAAAUUAAAACACUGGACAGAAAUAACUUAAAAAUGUGAUAAUAGUGGAAGACUUUAAGGUAUUUGAGAUAUUUCUGUUGGAAAAGAGAAGAGUAGAGAUAACUUUUACUAAGCAAAGUAUUCACAUUAAGUGUCAGAGUAUAUGUAAAUGGAAUAUUAAAGGAAUGUGUAAGUUCUUAAUAAAAAUGCUAAGAAUAUAAACAUCAGACAAAACAAGAUUUAAUGUAAAAUGCAGUGAAUGUAAAGAAAUUAACCACGUAAAUGAUAAAAGUCUUAGGUUGCCAGGGAGGUAAAAAGUUUUCAAUUUAUCAACGCUAUUAACAGUUCCAAAUAUAUGAAAGUUGUCAGAAUUUCAAGGGGUAAAUGAUAAGUCCACAAACAUGGUAGGAAUUUUUAAUAUUCUUCACAGUAAUUGUAAGACUAAGAAAAGUAGAAUUGAGCCACACAAUUAGCAAUCUUGAUCUAGUAGACGUGUAUAGAAUACUCCAUUCUAUUGUUAGAGAAUAAACAUCUUCACAAGCAAAUAGGAAACAUUCAUAAAAAUUGACCAUGAGGGGCGCCUGGGUGGCUCAGAUGGUGAAGCGUCUGCCUUCGGCUCAGGUCAUGAUCCCGGAGUCCUGGGAUCGAGUCCCGCAUCGGGCUCCCUGCUCCUUGGGAGCCUGCUUCUCCCUCUGCCUCUCUCUCUGUGUCUCUCAUGAAUAAAUAAAUAAAAUCUUUAAAAAAAAAAAAUUGACCAUGAAUUGUGUCAUAAAGCAAUUCUCAACAGCUUUCCAGCAAUCUGAUUCAUACAGAUCAUGUUCCCUGAUCCCAUGAAUUAAGUUAGAAGUCAACAUUUUAAAAUUAUGUUUAAAAGAUUAUAUAUUUGGAAAUUUAGAAACACUUCUAAAUAACUUAGGGGUCAGAGUUUUAAAAAAUCAUGAUGGAAAUUAGAAAAUAAUUGUGAAGCAGAGUUAAAAAUAUGUUUUUAGGCUCUUUCAGCUUGAAGUCCUAAAAUGGCAAACCUCAUGUUUUAAUGUAAGAUAGUCUUCUGUAUAAUAUUUCCAAAGGAAGUCACCAACAUAGAUUUUAUGAUCCUAACUCCUCAUCUACAUUGAGGAUAUAACAGGGCUGGCUGAGAGGGAUUAGAGGAUGGGAAUGGGAGAUUAGAAGAAGAGAUUUAUAAGGCUAUUAUAGUGCUAAAUCCCACACUUCAAGACAAGCAAGAGGCUUUAGAGGGAUCACUUGGAAAGUUUAAUAUGCAUCCCCUGGAAUUUGUGGGACAUGGUGGACCAUUUGCCUCAAACCUUAGAAAUCUGAAGGACAAGUACUACGGCUGGCUAACUGCUCUGAAGUUGAGUAAGAAAAGUUGAUGCAUUGGGGGCCACCGCACAAAAGAUGACAAAAGGAUGCACAUUUCCCCUGGAGCAGAUGUGGGUCUUAGGUGAGAGGAAGCCAGCAGUGACUUCAAGAUGACCCUAAUCAGGGAUCUGGAUAGCUGGAUGCCUAGGGGUAAAGUACUGACUGAAGACCACAGGAAAGCACCCUGUGAAAGAUGUUUAAGGACAGUCUAUGCAACUACAUUAUAGUUAAGUAAGACCUUUCCUGUUCCUUACUUUAUCUCCUUUUCCCAAGAUUAAUCCUGGAAAAGUCAGAAGCAGCCUAGUAAGUAGGGGAGGAAGGCAGAGACAUAAUUCUAAUAAAAGAAGCAGUCAUACUUACUUUUCUCACUUCACCACCUGUAGCAGAUAGGAGCUCUGGUAGAGGAAGAACUUUAAGUUUGAAUGAGGGUAGAAAUCUUAAUUUUAAUAUCACAGUUGACUUAACUGCUAAACAGAGACUUUCUGCUUAUUUGUCUAGUCGCUAAAAGUGACCACAAGAUUUUUUAUUGAGAAAGACCAAGAAGACUUAUGUGAUCUUGCCUAAUUUCCUUUUAAGGUUAUAGAGAAAAACUAGCCCUUAAAGUGGGUUUGAAUGAAGAGUACAGCAAAUAAAUGAAUUUCUAUUCUAAUUUCAUCUAAUGGGUUCUGUUGUUUCAACAUCCAUUAGGACUGAAUAAUAAUAGAAAUACUGCACAUCAAAGUUAGUAAGAAAUUAGUACUUAGGGAGUAAGAAAAUGCUUAUACUGAGAAAGAAGAAAAGCUGAAUGAUCUAUACUUCCAGAACAACUAGUCCUAAAGAAAAUAGAAGAAAAAUAAUGAACAGAAAUUAAUGAAAGAGUAACACAAAAUACAAUAGCAGUAAUAAAGUGAAAAGUUAACUCUGAAAAGAAAAAUAAAGUAGGCAAACCACUGGUAAAAUGCAUCAAAAAAAAGAGGAAAAAAUACAAAUAAACAUUAGGAAUGAAAAAUAGGGCAAAACUAAAGCCAAUUCAAAGAGUAGAAAAAUAUGGGAGUAUACUCUAAGCAAUUUCAUGCCAAAAUUUUAAAGGUAUAUUUCCUUAAAAAUAUGUCAAAAAGGAAAAGAGGCCCUGAAUGAAAUUAUAACUGUUAAGAAAUAACUUAAGUCAGUAGUUGAAAAUGCCCGUCCAAGGAAAGACCAGAUCCACAUGGCUAGAUAGGCAAAUUCUACCAAAUAUUCAAGGGAAUAGAUAUAUUCAGUAUUAUAUAAACUCUUCCAGAGAAUAGAAGAAAAACUCUCCAACCUAUUUUAUCGACUUAGUGAAAUCUAGACAGCAAAAUCUAAUAAGGACAGUAUGACAAUUGAAAAUUACAAGCCAACUGUAGUUAUCAUGACUGAUGCAAAAAUUCAAAACGAAAUACUAGUGAAUCAAGUCUAACUUUGAAUAACAACAACAAUAAUAAUAAUGCAUCAUGACCAAGUUAAGUUUAUCUCAGGAAUGCAAGUAUAGUUUCAAAUUGGAAAAUCUAGUAGUGUAAUUGAUUAAUAGAUUAAAGGAGAAAAAUUCUAAGAUCAUCUCAAGAGAUGGAAAAAUAAUUUUAUAAUAUUCAACCAAAUAUUGGCAAGAUAGCAAUAGAAGUAAACUUCCUUAUUCCAAACCUGUAGGAAACACUAAAUGGCAAAAUGGUACACACAUUCCUUUUAAAACCAUGAACACAAAGAUAUCUCUUAUCACCACAUCUGUUCAACAUUGAUCCUAGUCAUUUCAAUAAUAAAAGAAAACUAGAUAUAAAUUAUAGAUAUUAGGAAGAAUCAAAACUGCUAUUAUUUAGGAGAAGAUUCUGAGUUGAUGGUGGAGUAGGAAGCACCCGGAAUCUGUCCCCCCAGCUAGGCAAUAACUGAACUGGCAGAAUCUGUCUAAUGUAACUAUUUUGGAACUCUAGUUUGUUGAGCGCUUGCAUCUUCCAAGGGGAAGACUUGGGACAGUGAAUUGUGGUUAAUUUUGGUCAAUUUCAGAUCGUAGCACAGUAGCAGCAACCCAUUCACCACCCCCAGCCACUAAUUGGUAGUUGUGCAUGUGUUUCUCAAGCAGCUUGCACAAAGCUGUGGGAACUAGAGUGGACAAAAAGAAUCUGUGUUCUGAUUGCCGAUUACUGCUUCCAACCAAUCACAGAAGCACAAAGAAGAAGCAGCCAUUGUUGCACCUACCCCCAUUGUGCAAGCCCCUCCCUCUCUGGCUGAAGUGAUAGCCAGGGUAUUUAAAGGGCCAGCCACCCUUUUCCCCCUGCUUCAUUUUUUUUUUUGCCUUUUUUUCUUUUGGGAGCCAGACAGUAAAGAGUAGGACAUUUGAAAAAAACUGCAUACAUGAGGAAAAUUAGAAAGUGACCACACAUGCCCAGGGAAAGGCUCAGAAGAGACCCAAGAAAACAUUGCAUUUACACAAGUUGAUCCUAGACACAGAGACAGCCUACAACAACAAAAAAAACAAUAACAAAAACAGCAAAUCCUGGUGAAGGUAAGAAUCAGAUAUCCUUAGAGUUACUACAUUAUUAAAUUCAAAUGUCCAAUGUCCAACCAAAAAGAUCACAAGACAUACAAAGAAACAGGAAAGUAUCACCAUUCAAAAGAAAAAAUAAAUCUGCAGUAACUGUACCUGAAAAAGAAUUAAUGGCAGAUACACUAGAUAAAGACUUUUUAAAAACUGUCUUUAAAAUUGCUCAAAGAACUAUAGGAAGAUAUGGAGAAAGUCAAAAAAAAUGAUGUCUGAACAAAAUAGAAAUUAAAGAGAUAGAAAACCUAAAAAGAAAAUGCAAAAUGAAACGCUGGAGCUGAAAAGCACAAUAACUAAAAUAAAAAACUCACCAGAAGAAUUCAAAAGCAGAUUUGAGCAGGCAGAAGAAUAAGUGAACUUGUAGAUAGGAGAAUGGAAAUUAUUAAGGCUGAGGAACAGAAAGAAAAAAGAUUGAAGAAAAUUGAGCAGAGCCUAAGGGGCCUGGGGACACAAUAAAAUGGACCAGCAUACACAUGGUGGGAGUCCCAGAAGGAGAAGAGUGAGAGAGAAAAAGGGCAGAGAGAAUAUUUAAAGAAAUAAUGGUUGGAAAUGUCCCAAAUUUGAUGAAAAACAUGAAUAUAAACAUUCUAAGAAGAUGAACUCAAAGAGACCCAUACCAAGACACAUUAUAAUCAAACUUUCAAAAGCCAAAGAUAAAGAGAAUCUUGAAAGCAACAAGAGAGAAGUAAAUCAUCACAUACAAGCGAUCCUCAAGAUUAUUAGCAGAUUUCUCAUCAGAAAGUUUGGAGGCCAGAAGACAAUGAGCCCAUAUAUUCAAAGUGCAAAAAGAAAAAAACAAAACAAAAACCUGUCAAUAAAAACUGCCAAAACUGUCCUUCAAAAAUGAGGGAGAAAUUAUGACAAUCCCAGAUAAACAAAAGCUGGUUCAUAACCACUAGACCUGCCCUACUAUAAAUGCUUAAUGGAAUCUUGCAAGAUAAAAUGAAAGGUCAUAGAACAGUAACUCAAAUGUUUAUGGCAAAAUAAAGAUAUCAAUAAAGGUGUAUACAGGGGAAAUUAUAAAAGCAGGUAUUAUUGUAACAAUGGUUUAUAACUAUGUUUUGUUUGUUUUCUAUGUGAUUGAGGAAACUAAUACAUUUAAAGAAAAAAUCAUUAGUUAUAAAAGCUAGUAUUACUGUAACCUUUGUUUGUACGUCCAAGUUGUGUUUUCUAUGUAAUUUAGAAGACUAAUUCAUUUAAAAGAAUUACUUAUGUGUGUGAGCACACAAUGUUUAAAUGUAUAAUUUUGUGACAUCAAAAAAACAGGAGUGUGGACAAAGCUAUAAAGGAGCAGAGUUGUUUAUAUUAUUGAAAUUAAGCUGGUAUAAAUUCAAAUUAAAGUGUUAUAACUUAAGGAUGUUAAAUGUAGUGACCACCAAAGAAAAUAGCUGUAGAAUAUACACAAAAGGAUACGAGAAAGGAAUUUAAACAUUUCAUUACAAAAAAAUAUAUAUCUUUUUUUUUUUAAGAUUUUAUUUAUUUAUUUGACAGAGAGAGAGAUAGCAAGAGCAGGAACACAAGCAGGGGGAGUGGGAGAGGGAGAAGCAGGCUUCCCACCAUGCAAGGAGCCCAAUGUCGGGCUGGAUCCCAGGACUCUGGGAUCACGAUCUGAGCCAAAGACAGACACUUAAUGACUGAGCCACCCAGGUGUCCCUACCCUCCUUAGUUCUUACAUCCCAUUUGUCCAUGGCACACCCCCCCAAAAAAUCAUUUAAACACACACACAAAAAAAAACAGUAAUGCAGGAAAUGAGGGACAAAAAGAGCUAUAGGCAUGUAGAAAAUAAAUAGCACAAUGGAAGAAUAAGUCCCUCCUUGUUAGUAAUUAUUUUAAAUGUAAGUGAAUUAAACUCCAAUUAAAAGACAGAGAUUGGCAGAAUGGAGAAAAACACAUGAACCAACCAUAUGCUGUCUACAAGAGACUCAUGUGAUAUUCAAAGACACAGAUAGGUUAAAAGUGAAAGGGUAGAAAAAGAUAUUCCAUGCAAACAGUAAACAAAAGGUUGGUGAAGGUGGGGUUAUGCUAAUAUCAGACAAACUAGGCUUAAAAUCAAAUAAGUUACAAGAGACAAAGAAGGACAUUAUAUAUUAAUAAGAGAUUUCAUUAAUACUUGGACUAUCUCCCUUCACUCAUUUACUCAAAAGUGUGGCAGCAUAGAAAAUUAGCUGAGAGAAAUACCAUAGAAAAAUAUUUUGCCCAACUAGAAAAGUACUAAUGAAGAUAUAUUUUUCCAAGGAAUUAAGUAAACUCUAAAAAAUCCAUUACAUAUUCAUAAUAGAAUCUUUUUUCCCAAAAGAUUCCAGUUAAAGUAAUGGGAAUUACAUUUGAAUAACAUCUAGAUAAUGCAAAAACUGUAGAUUUACUUUCAUUAAGCAAGAUAGAAAUUUUAAAUAUCUGGCUUACAUUAAAAAUUGUAGGUUGAAAAUGUUUCCAAUCUUUACCCUAGGGUGAAAAAUGUUUUCAGAUUACAUGAUUUGUAGGGUCCAUUUCAAGGCUAAAAUUCGAUGUGAUUUCUGUAAAAGAUAACUUUUCCCUAAGUUAUUUUAAGACCACAUCACUUCAUUAUUUGUGACUUUACCCGGAUUUUCAUUGCUUAAAUUCUUUAUUUUUUUCUUAAUAUUUUAUUUAUUUAUUUGACAGAGAGAGAGAGAGAGCAAGAGAGGGGACACGAGCAGGGAGAAGCAGGGAGAAGCAGGGAGAAGCAGGGAGAAGCAGGGAGAAGCAGGCUUCCCACUGAGCAGGAAGCCCAGUGUGGGACUUGAUCCCAGGACCUUGGGAUCAUGAUCUGAGCUGAAGGCAGAUGCUUAACGACUGAGCCACCCAGGCGCCCCUGCUUAAAUUCUUUAAACAAGGUAACUGUUUCAAAAGAGAAUCAAUAUACAUAGUUUAAAGUGGUAAAAAUCACAUUUUUAAAAGUAUGCUUAUGUACUUAAUAAAGAUGGUUGCCAAAGUUUUACUUUUCAAAUAUGUUCCUGAAGGGAGUGACACCUUAGGAACCAUGAAACAGUUAAAAGGGAAUUCUGUGGUCAUUACAGGAUGUGCAAACUUGAAUGGGAGUUUAUUCUGAAAGCAAAUAUAAUGUUGUGCUUCCUUCAUAAGUAUCAUUUUAUCACAUUGCCCUAUAUUCAUCAAUAUAUUUGAAUGAGAUGGCAUGAUCUGGGAUUGACAGUGUGUGGUUAGUAAGAAAUUAACUCUAAGAAUUAAUUAAAACAGGGAAAUAUGAAAAGCAUGUAAAAGUUAAAUGAGUUUAUUUUUAAAUUUGAUACUAUUUUUGUUAAUAUAAAGCAACUCUUUCAGGGGAACUGCUCUCUCCAAUUUAUGCAUAGAUUAUUUGACAGACUGGUUGAAAUAUUCCAUACCACUUUUGCACAGUAGAAAUGAAAAACCCAAAGAAUUCAUAUUUUCAAGACUGUUAGCACCUUCUCACAUUUCAAGAAUUUGAUAUUCAAU